UACGGAGGGUGCAAGCGUUAUCCGGAAUGAUUGGGCGUAAAGCGUCCGCAGGUGGCUGUGUAAGUCUGCUGUUAAAGAGUCAUGCUCAACAUGAUAAGAGCAGUGGAAACUACACGGCUAGAGUGCGUUCGGGGCAGAGGGAAUUCCUGGUGUAGCGGUGAAAUGCGUAGAGAUCAGGAAGAACACCGGUGGCGAAAGCGCUCUGCUAGGCCGCAACUGACACUGAGGGACGAAAGCUAGGGGAGCGAAUGGG
Molecule: ribosomal RNA, 253 nt
Filed under: uncultured bacterium
Lineage: Bacteria
Description: partial 16S ribosomal RNA
Rfam family: Bacterial small subunit ribosomal RNA
Source: RNAcentral